Molecule: ribosomal RNA, 833 nt
Filed under: Grosmannia abietina
Lineage: Eukaryota; Fungi; Ascomycota; Sordariomycetes; Ophiostomatales; Ophiostomataceae
Description: SSU rRNA
Rfam family: Eukaryotic small subunit ribosomal RNA
Source: RNAcentral
UUAUACCGCGAAACUGCGAAUGGCUCAUUAAAUCAGUUAUCGUCUAUUUGAUAGUACCUUACUACUUGGAUAACCGUGGUAAUUCUAGAGCUAAUACAUGCUGAAAAUCCCGACUUCGGAAGGGUUGUAUUUAUUAGAUUAAAAACCAAUGCCCUUCGGGGCUCCCUGGUGAUUCAUAAUAACUUCUCGAAUCGCACGGCCUUGCGCCGGCGAUGGCUCAUUCAAAUUUCUGCCCUAUCAACUUUCGACGGCUUGGUCUUGGCCAGCCGUGGUGACAACGGGUAACGGAGGGUUAGGGCUCGGCCCCGGAGAAGGAGCCUGAGAAACGGCUACUACAUCCAAGGAAGGCAGCAGGCGCGCAAAUUACCCAAUCCCGAUACGGGGAGGUAGUGACAAUAAAUACUGAUACAGGGCUCUUUUGGGUCUUGUAAUUGGAAUGAGUACAAUUUAAUUCCCUUAACGAGGAACAAUUGGAGGGCAAGUCUGGUGCCAGCAGCCGCGGUAAUUCCAGCUCCAAUAGCGUAUAUUAAAGUUGUUGCAGUUAAAAAGCUCGUAGUUGAACCUUGGGCCUGGCUGGCCGGUCCGCCUCACCGCGUGCACUGGUCCGGCCGGGCCUUUCCCUCUGGGGAACCGCAUGCCCUUCACUGGGCGUGUCGGGGAACCAGGACUUUUACUUUGAAAAAAUUAGAGUGUUCAAAGCAGGCUUAUGCUCGGAUACAUUAGCAUGGAAUAAUAGAAUAGGACGUGCGGUUCUAUUUUGUUGGUUUCUAGGACCGCCGUAAUGAUUAAUAGGGACAGUCGGGGGCAUCAGUAUUCAGUUGUCAGAGGUGAAA